GGAAGGAUCAUUAGCACUUCGAUAUGACAACUCUGCCGUAUCCAGGACUCUCGCCUGCGUGGCGGGAUGCUCCGGGGUGCGGUAGUUAGCCCCUUGUGAAUCGUUAAAGUCCGGUAACAGUAUUCCGUUCCUUCGGGGUCCGAUUGGGAUGGCGACUUUGGGGUGCGUGCGCGCUUCUCUCUGUUUCGUGUCAGGGGGACGAACGGUUGCAGCAAACGGUCUGUGCUUGAUUUGCGGAAUCUGGGCACUGAUUUUAUGCUGUGACUGUUUUGUCCUCUUGGUGCAGCAGCGUUUUGUGUGUGUGCGUUCCGAGGCCUCCUCUCGAUUGCGUCAAGGGAUAGCUGUUGCCUUCAAUAUUUUAACACCCUUAUCCAUAUGACUAAACUGAAAGUCGGCGGGUGCGUCCUGUCGAUUUUUACCAAAACCAUUAGACAACUUUUGACAACGGAUAUCUUGGUUCUCGCAACGAUGAAGAGCGCAGCGAAAUGCGAUACGUAAUGUGAAUUGCAGAAUUCAGUGAAUCAUCAAAACCUUGAACGCACCUUGCGCUCGUGAGUCCUCUCACGAGCAUGCCUGUUUGAGUGUCGGUUUCCUAUUCUCACCCGUUCCCCCAGCGCCUUGUGUGUUGGGGAUGUGCGUGGAAGCGAUUGGGAGUUGAAUGACUGCGCGUCGUUCAUCUCUUGAAAUGAAUGGUACUCUAUGCGGGGACCGGUUCUGAGACGUUUUCUUGCGAGACUCUCGACCUUUACUGUCCGUUACGAGCCAGGCGCAUCAAUGAGUUGCGGACUCUGUUGUUUACGCUGAGGCCAGGAUGGCUAGAGGUUGUUUGUUUCGUGUUUUCGUUUCGGAGCCCUUGUGUGUCUCUUCUGUGCAGCGCCAAACGCAAGGAUACCGAUGUGAGAAGAGAGUAGCCGUAAAAAAGCUGUUCUUUUCGCGCACUUCUUUCAACAUCGACCUCAAAUCAGGCAAGGCUACCCGCUGAAUUUAAGCAUAUCAAUAAGCGGAGGAAAAGAAACUUAUCAGGAUUCCCCUAGUAACGGCGAGUGAAGAGGGAAGAGCUCAAAUUUGGAAUCUGCCGGGUUGUACCUGUGCAGAAUUGUAGUUUUGUGAACGGCCUUACGGAUCGGCGUCUUGCAAUCGAAGUCCCUUGGAACAGGGCACCAGAGAGGGUGAGAGUCCCGUUCAUGGUUGCAGGCUCGCGCUGGUCAACACGUACUGCCGUCUCGACGAGUCGGGUUGUUUGGGAGUACAGCCCUAAAUCGGGUGGUAAAUCUCAUCUAAAGCUAAAUACUGGCGAGAGACCGAUAGCGAACAAGUACCGUGAGGGAAAGAUGCAAAGAACCCUGAAAAGAGAGUUAAAAGUGCUUGAAAUUGUCAAAAGGGAAGCGAUUGGCACCAGUGUUUUGACCGCGGCCGAAUCAGCUGCACGGCGACGGCUGGCGUCUGUUUGACGAGGGGUCCCUGGUGGCCUCCGUUGGGCGGAUGCCUGGCUGGCGUCGGGCGGUGCACUUUGGUCGGGGGCUUGUCAGCGUCGAUUGGGAAGGUCGAGAGAUGGGCCGGCGGAAGGUGGGCAGGCGUGAUUACACGCUUGUCGUUACAGACGCUGGCACUCGGUAUCGCCUUGACCCGAUCGAGGCGUCCUAUGGACGUUUCAACGAGCGGCCUUCGGGUCGGGAGACUGGGUUGCCUAUUGGACGGCGACGGCGGGGACAGCUUGCUGUGCCUGUUGAUCGUUGGCUGAUACAGCGGCCCUAUCACCAGCUCGUUAGGGAUGCUGACGAAAUGGUGUCAAUCGACCCGUCUUGAAACACGGACCAAGGAGUCUAACAUGUAUGCGAGUAUUCGGGUGGCAAACCCGGGAUGCGCAAUGAAGGUGACAACUGGUGGGAGGCGCCUCGUGUGCCGCACCAUCGACCGCUCUGGAGAUUCUUCGAUAGAUGUGAGUGGGAGCAUACCUGUUGGGACCCGAAAGAUAGCGAACUAUGCUUGCAUAGGGUGAGGCCAGAAGAAAUUCUGGUGGAGGCUCGUAGCGAUACUGACGUGCAAAUCGUUCGUCAAAUGUGAGUAUAGCGGCGAAAGACUAAUCGAGCUAUCUAGUAGCUGGUUUCCUC
This 2111-nucleotide unclassified non-coding RNA is filed under the name uncultured fungus. Its description in RNAcentral is "sequence contains 18S rRNA gene, ITS1, 5.8S rRNA gene, ITS2, 28S rRNA gene". The stretch from base 952 to 2111 matches the Rfam family "Eukaryotic large subunit ribosomal RNA", at positions 1 to 961 of the family's 3401-position model. The record is from RNAcentral. Lineage: Eukaryota; Fungi.